AAAUGAAAUUUAAAGCAGUUUUACUUUGUGCUGAGUUGUGGAAGUUUGUGUGCGUGUAAUUUACGUGAAAAUCACGUAUUUAUUAUUAUCGCGUCGCGCUCGCCAGGAUUUGGCAGUUUCUAGUGCAAAACCAAGGUGUUUUUUACCAUAGGUGCGAUUGUGUGUUAUUUUUUACGUCGCCUUUGGAAAUGGGUUUUGAAGAAUCGCUCCAAGUGCCCUAGAAUAAUAUUGAACAAAAUGGACGGAAACGCAUUAAUCGAAGGUGAAACUUUGUAAUUAAAAGUUACGCGCGGCGGUAAGGGUAAUUUCAAGUACGUUUGGCGUACCACCUGUUACAAAUAAAUUUGUAGCAUUGACACAAUUGCGCGCGCGAAAAAUACCGAUGUGAUGAAAAUGUUCGAUAAUUUAAUUACGCGAAUAACGAGCCCCAACACGCGUCGACGUCACACGUACCACUGUCCCGAGAUACACUCCGAUCCCGAAGAUAAUGACCCGAUCACGCCCAGAAAACCCAGAAUUUUGGAACGGAGAAGGAAGGGCCGGAAGCUCGUCGAAAUCGGGCUGCGGCAGGCGAGAAGCCUAGGGAGACUGGAUGGAAUUAAGGAGACAUGGAAACAAUAACAAAGAAAAAGUGUAAGCGUGACUGACAAACGCAUAAACACAAAUGGUAAUUGAAGACUUAACUAUUUCUGUAAAUUAUCACAAACAUAUGGAAACAAUUGACAAAAGGCAUGAACAUGCGAAGUAUAAAUAAGUUAAAAUACAAAAUUGUGUGUUGUGGCAAUAAAUGAGUGUCAUAUGGACAGAUUCCGUAGG
Molecule: long non-coding RNA, 816 nt
Organism: Photinus pyralis (common eastern firefly)
Lineage: Eukaryota; Metazoa; Arthropoda; Insecta; Coleoptera; Lampyridae
Exons: 4
Source: RefSeq, a predicted model, not a curated record